Molecule: unclassified non-coding RNA, 290 nt
Filed under: Hevea brasiliensis (rubber tree)
Lineage: Eukaryota; Viridiplantae; Streptophyta; Magnoliopsida; Malpighiales; Euphorbiaceae
Source: RNAcentral
GGGCAACCUAGUCAUUUUCUCCGUUGACAAAAUCUCAUCUUUGCAAACUGCACAAGCUGCAUUGCUUCCUUUCAAAUGUUCAUCACUCACGACCACCAAAGGAAGAUUUUCCAGCACAGAUUUAGCUGUUGGUGGACUACCCUUUAACCUCUCUUGGCUUCCAACAAAAUCAACAGCACCAAACCCACCGCCAUCUUGAAGUAUAACAGCAUUGUGAAGUUCAAGGCUCCUUUCGAGAUCAUUAACCGCCACCAGAAAUUCCCAUUCUAAAUUCCUCGAUUGCCCCCCUU